Molecule: ribosomal RNA, 735 nt
Filed under: fungal sp.
Lineage: Eukaryota; Fungi
Description: eukaryotic LSU rRNA
Rfam family: 5.8S ribosomal RNA (bases 215-369)
Source: RNAcentral
GUGACCUGCGGAGGAUCAUUAACGAGUUAGGGUCUUCCAGGCCCGACCUCCCAACCCUAUGUUUAUUGAACUUCUGUUGCUUCGGCGGGCCCGUCUCACGGCCGCCGGGGGAGUCGCCGCGAGGCACCCUCUGGCCAGCGUCCGCCGAUGGCCAACCUCAAAACUCUGAAUGAAUCGUGUCAUGAUGUCUAAGUCUAUGAUUAAAUUAAAGCAAAACUUUCAACAACGGAUCUCUUGGUUCUGGCAUCGAUGAAGAACGCAGCGAAAUGCGAUAAGUAAUGCGAAUUGCAGAAUUCCAGUGAGUCAUCGAAUCUUUGAACGCACAUUGCGCCCUUUGGUAUUCCGAAGGGCAUGCCUGUUCGAGCGUCAUUAUCACCCCUCAAGCCCCGUGCUUGGCGUUGGACGGCCGGUCGAGCGAUCGACCCCUCCGAAAGACAAUGACGGCGGCCUGUGGUUCCCCCGGUACACUGAGCUUUUCACGGAGCACGUAUCGGACUAAGGGCGCCCGGGACCCGGUCUUCUCCUCUCACCAGGAAACUUCUAAGGUUGACCUCGGAUCAGGUAGGAAUACGCGCUGAACUUAAGCAUAUCAAUAAGCGCAGGAAAAGAAACCAACAGGGAUUACCUCAGUAACGGCGAGUGAAGCGGUAAUAGCUCAAAUUUGAAAUCUGGCCUCUCGGGGUCCGAGUUGUAAUUUGUAGAGGAUGUUUUGGGUACCGCCCCGGUCUAAAUUUC